AUGAAGAUCAACACCUCCAGCACCGGCAGAAGAGCAGCGGCUCUGCAAAGACCCGUCCUGCCAGCAGAACAUCGCAGAGAAGACGACGCGCCUUCUGCUCACAGGAAGAUGCGCUGCUCCAGCCCCUGGACAUCACUUUGCCUUCUCCGCAGUUGGAGGCAGGAACAACGCCUGGUGCUGCUCCAGCGCCGGCAGAACAGCUCUGGGAACGCCUGUCCUGCCAGCAGAGCACUGGGGAAAAGAGGACGCGCCUCCUGCUCAGAGGAAGGGAUGUCAGUGUGUGGGCACAUGGCCCAGCUCCCAGCCUGUUCUCCCGGCUGGGAGGGGCGUUCCCAUAAGAGAAGCCUGGGGCAGCAGAGGAGUUACUCUUCUCCCAUAACCUCAGCAUUGAUGAUGCCCGCCUGACCCAGGAUGACAAAGGAAGAAUUGGACAGGAGAGGAGAGCACAGCUGAGACUGCCAGUCUGAAGUGAUGUGUGGGAGAGGAGACUGGGCCAGGCGAGGUCAGAUAGGGAGCGUGGGGACAUAGUUGACACAAAAAUGUCUGUUAAUUAGUAGCGUUAUUGUCGAAAAGCUCUGUAAAUAAAUUGUUUGAUAUCAUUCA
This 603-nucleotide long non-coding RNA is filed under the name Phasianus colchicus (ring-necked pheasant). RNAcentral describes it as "lncRNA (ENSPCLG00000011599.1)". Lineage: Eukaryota; Metazoa; Chordata; Aves; Galliformes; Phasianidae. The record is from RNAcentral.